Molecule: long non-coding RNA, 788 nt
Organism: Myotis brandtii (Brandt's bat)
Lineage: Eukaryota; Metazoa; Chordata; Mammalia; Chiroptera; Vespertilionidae
Exons: 2
Source: RefSeq, a predicted model, not a curated record
ACACAAGAAAAGGUUGACGGGUGGGUAAGAACAGCGACAUCCAUCAAGGCAGGUAACGUCUGUAAUCAGUUUCUUCACUAAGACCCAGUCUCUCUCCGGUCUGUCUGUGCCUCUGGGGAGGAGCUCUCUGCCAGGCCUGUGACUGCUGUCCCUGCUCCCAUCUGCUCCUCCUCUCUGUGAGGUAGCCCCGCUGCAUCAUCACUCAACCUAACUUCUGCUAAGCGCUGGUCAUGUCACUCUCCUACUCAGAACCCUUCAACAGCUACCAAAACUGCAUUCAAAGGCCACCACCAUCCAAACCUCAGCCCUUAUGCAGACUCCACACUUCACCAAAAUGGUCUGCUUGUCAUUGCCUGACAUGGCCAUGAUGAAAACAACAAGUGAGCUGAGGAUCUCCAUGAUAACCCACUGACCUGCCCAACUACACUUGGUCAGAUGUGAGCUAUCCUGAGGCAGCCAGGACCAUGUGCCUCCUCCCCGCAUGUGCCCACAACUGCUGGGAUGGCUGACUUCUCUUCCCUGAGCCCGCCCUCAACGUUGCCUCAGCGUGAGUCAGCUGCUACCAAGGCAUGGAGCUGGCAAGUAUAAUGGAACUCCCCUGCUACUCGAGCUCAGGCACUUAAUAGCUGUGUUAUUUAGGUCAAGCUACUUCGUUCAGACUGUUCCCUGGCCUGCAGAAUGGUGAUGCCACCACCUAGCGGACAGGGUUGUUGGAAGGAUUAAAGGAGAAUGUAUGUAAAAUGCCUGAUACAUAAAAAGUAUACAGUAAAUGUUCCCCUAGUGCUAAA